RNAcentral lists this long non-coding RNA (8532 nucleotides) under Pelobates cultripes (western spadefoot toad). The record is from RNAcentral. Lineage: Eukaryota; Metazoa; Chordata; Amphibia; Anura; Pelobatidae.
GGAGGGUAGGGGAUUUUCACGAGGUAGAGGAUUUUGAUGAUUAGCUCGGAAGUGACACUUUACGGUGUUCUACUUGAAAAUUCUAUUUUGGUUCCUGGUUGGAAGUUUUAUAAUCCAGGUUCUGUGACUGUUAGGGUAAGUGACGAGGCUCUGUAAUCCACAGUAAUUUUACUACAUUUAAUGCAGUAAGGCAAUGUUCUUAGUUUAUGUAGCAUUAUUAACAGGAUUUUGGCAGAUUAAUAUAAAUAGUGGUGUACUUAAAACAAAUAUCUGUAAACCUCUAAGUAAUAAGCCAAGGGUAUGUUGUAAUGAAUUUAGACUGCAUGAUGUUAGGUUUCAGGGGAACUUGGUUGAAACGGGUGUGAACCGGAUUUAUAAAGAGCAAGUUCAGGAACUUUCAGAACCCAUACAAUAUGUCUGUGUAAAAAAUCUGUUUAGACAUACAUACGGGUGUAUGCAUAACUACCAACAUUUCACAUAGACAAAGGACACUUAAAGGGACACUCCAGGCACAAAAACAACUUUAAUCUAAAGUAAGUUGUUAUGGUUCCUGGGAGCACUCUUCCCUCAGGGGGUUAAACAUCCUUAAACGGUUUAACCCUUAAGUUGCCUCCAGCGGCCAUGGCUAUGCUCACUCCUCCAGCAGGCGCCAUCUAGCUUCUGAAAUGUCAUUUUUGGGAAGUGCUGAGUACUGACGGGCAGGAGCGCUGCUGAUUGGCUGUGAGCGUCCACUGAUCUCUCCCAGCCAAUCAGUAGUGGCUCUGCCUGGCAGCGUUUCACUCUUUCUGAAAGUGAAAUUUAAGAAGCUGGAUGCCACUUUGGGUGGGGGUGGAUAUUGCCGCUAGAGGUAACUUGGGGGUUAAAACCUUUUGAGAAUAGUUUAAGCCCCUGAGGGUAGUUAGAUGAAGUUGUUUUGGUGCCUAGAGUGUCCCUUUUAGCCCCUUAAGGAUGGCGGGUGUGCUAUGCCGCCUUUGGGGACCCGGCUCUAAACGCUGGGGGAGGGGGGCAUAGCACAUCCCUGCCGUCCUAUUUAUUUACUCGGUCGCUGGCGUGGGAUCUCACCUGGCAGCCCAGGGAGUCCCCCUCUGUCCGUUUCGGCCCCCCUGGGCCAUGUGAUCGCAAGGUCCUUUAUACAUAAAUACACAUACACUAAGUGUAUUUUUAUAUUAAUAUCAAAAUACAUGUAGACUAUUGAUUUAUAUAUAUAUAUAUAUAUAUAUAUAUAUAUAUAUAUAUAUAUAUAUAUAUAGAUAUAUAUUAGAAAUUAUGUAAAUAAGUUAAAAAAUAAAAUGUGUAAAUUAGUUCUAACUGUAUUUUUAAAUUAAUAUAUAUUUAGAUCAAAAUACAUGUAGAAAGAAAUAUAUCUAUAUACAUAAGUAUAUACGUAUAUAUCACAAUUUAAAAAAUUGUGUGUGUGUGUGUGUGUGUGUGUGUGUGUAUAUAUAUAUAUAUAUAUAUAUAUAUAUAUAUAUAUAUAUAUAUAUAUAUAAUUUUCUCUCUUUACGUAUAUAUUUAUGUAAUAUUUUUACAUAAUUAGGACAUUUUAUUAAUUACAAUUGGUGGGACCUGCCUGACAACCCAGGCCAAAAGUCCAGGGAAUUUAACCCCUUAAGACCAGAGGGCGUACUAUUACGCCCUAUUUUAGGCAGCUCUAAACGCCGCCUGGCGUAAUAGUACGCCCUCCGGUCUUUCCUUACUUACCCAGUCGCCAGCGAUCGCGGUGGGGGGACUCCCAGGGAGCCCCCCCGCGGCAGAUCCUCCUCCUCCGGUCCCCCCUGGCCAUGUGAGGUCCUUGCGAGGACCUCACAAUCACAUGGCCGGGUUAGCUGCCUCCUGCAUUGCCAGCAGGGGGGCUGCCUGCAAUGACAGGUGGUCCCCCUGCUAGCUGGAAAUAAAAAUAAAAUAAAUUAAUAAAGUGUAAAAAAAAAAUAUAUAUAUAUAUAUACACACACACACACAUAUACUAUCUAGGUGUAUUUUACUAUUAAUAUAUAUAUAUAUAUAUAUAUUAAUAUCAAAUUACACGUAGACUGAUACUGAUUAAAUAUAUGUAUAAUUAUUGAUAUAUAUAUAUAUAUAUUAUAAAAAAAUUAAAUAUGUAAAUACGUUAAAAAAUAAAAUUAAAAAAAAUAUAUAGAUGUGUUUAGUUCUAACUGUAUUGUGAUAUUAAUAUAUAUAUAUAUAUAUAUAUAUAUAUCUAUAUAUUUAUAUCAAAAUACACGUAGAACGAAAUAAUAUAUAUAUAUCUAUAUACAUAUAUACGUAUAUAUCACUAUAUACCUACAUUUAAAAAAAUUAUAUAUACAUACAUACAUAAAUAUAUUAAUUCUACAUAUAUAUUUAUGUAAUAUUUUUACAUAAUUAGGUAUCUUAAUUACAAUUAGCGGGACCUGCCUGACAACCCAUGCCAAAAGUAAAGGGAAUUUAAUUUGCUAGGACUAUAUUUAACCCUAUAACUUUCCAAGACACCAUAAAACCUGUACAUGGGUACUGUUCUACUCGGGAGACUUCGCUGAACACGAAUAUUAGUGUUUCAAAACAGUAAAAUGUAUUACAACGAUGAUAUCGCCAGUAAAAGUGACGUUUUUUGCAUUUUUCACGCACAAACAGCACUUACACGGACGAUAUUAUUGCUGCGAUACUUUUUACUGUUUUGAAACACAAAUAUAUGUGUUCAGCGAAGUCCCCCGAGUACAACAGUACCCCUCAUGUACAGGUUUCAUGGUGUUUUCAAAAGUUACAGCGUCAACUAUAAGGCUUGUGUUUCAUUUUUUUCCACAUUAAAAUUCGCCAGAUUGGUUACAUUGCCUUUGAGACCCUAUGGUAGCCCAAGAAUGAAAAUUACCCCUAUGAUGGCAUACCAUUUGCAAUAGUAGACAACCCAAGGUAUUGCAAACGGGGUAUGUCCAGUCUUUUUUAGUAGCCACUUAGUCACAAACACUGGCCAAAAUUGGCAUUUUUUGCAUUUUUCACACACAAGCAAAUACUAACGCUAACUUUGGCCAGUGUUUGUGACCAAAUGGCUACUAAAAAAAACUGGACAUACCCCAUUUGCAAUACCUUGGGUUGUCUACUAUUGCAAAUGGUAUGCCAUUAUGGGUGUAAAUUUCAUUCCCGGGCUACUAUACAGUCUCAAAGGCAACGUAACCAAUCUGGCGAAUUUCAAUUUCAAACGUAACAUGCAAUAUUUGACCCUGUAACUUCCCAAAACACCAUAAAACCUGUACAUAGGGGGUACUGUUUUACACGUGAGACUUUGCUGAAUACAAAUGUGUAUUUUAUUGCAGUAAAAGCAAACAGUAUUAUGACAUUGACAGUUAAAAUGUCAUGUAGAAGUAAAAAUGUUUUAAAAAUUCUUAUUUUCUCCCAUUUUUUUCAUAUUAAAUUGUUUCAUAGCUAAAUAUUUGAUAUUAAAUGAAAGCCCUGUUUCCCCUGAAUAAAAUGAUAUAUAAUAAGGGUGGGUGCAUUUAAUAUGAAAGAGGUGAAUUACUGUUGGACAGACAUGUAGCUCAAAUGCCAGGUUUUGUUUACAUUUUGUUUCGUUCACAACGUGUACAUUUUGCUCAGUCCUUAAGGGGUUAAUUUGCUAGCACUAUAUUUAACCCUGUAACUUUCCAAGACACCAUAAAACCUAUACAUGAGGGGUACUGUUUUACUCGGACGCCUUCGCUAAACACAAAUAUUAGUGUUUCAAAACAGUAAAAUGUAUUGCAACGAUAUCAUCAAGCAAAGUAAAAUUUUUUUGCAUUUUAUACACACAAAUGGCACUUACACAGCCAAUAUUGUUGUGAUACAUUUUACUGUUUUGAAGCACUAGUAUUUGUUGUCGGCGAAGUCUCCGGAGUAUAACAGUAGCAAUCAUGUACAGGUUUUAUGCUGUUUUCAAAAGUCACAGAGUCAAAUGUAAGGCUUGUUUCUUUUUUUUUCACAUUGAAAUUCGCCAGAUUGGUUACGUUGCCUUUGAGACCGUAUGGUAGCCCAGGAAUGAAAAUUACCCCCAUCAUGGCAUACCAUUUGCAAUAGUAGACAACCCGAGGUAUUGCAAAUCGGGUAUGUCCAGUCUUUUUGUAGUAGCCACUUAGUCACAAACACUGGCCAAAAUUGACGUUCAAAUUCGUUUUUUUUGCAUUUUUCACACACAAACAAAUAUUAACACUAACUUUGGCCAGUGUUUGUGACCAAGUGGCUACUAAAAAAGACUGGACAUACCCCAUUUGCAAUACAUUGGGUUGUCUACUUUUACAAAUGGUAUGACAUGAUGGGGUUAAUUUUCAUUCCUGGGCUGCUAUACGGUCUCAAAGGCAACAUAGGCUGAAAAACUGAAACAUGUAACAUACUAUAAUUAACCCUGUAGCUUCUCAAAACACCAUAAAACCUGUACAUAGGGGGUACUGUUUUACACGUGAGACAUCGCUGAAUAAAAAUGUGUUUUAUUGCAGUAAAAGCAAACAGUAUUAUGACAUUCACAGUUAGAAUGUCACUUAGAACUAAAUUUAUUUUAAAAAUUCUUAUUUUAUCCCACUUUUAUAUUUUAUUCAUAUUACAUUAUGUUUCAUACCUAAAUAUUUAAUGUUACAUGAAAGCCCUGUUUCCCCUGCAUAAAAUUAUAUAUAGUAAGUGUGGGUGCACAUAAUAUGAAAGAGGCAAAUUACGCCUGAACAGACAUAUAACGUAAAAUCAAGGUUUUUAGUUUGUAGAACUGAAGGAGUGAUCUAUCUACUUACCUGCUCAUGUGGCAUGAAAUACGUGGGGAAAACUUUCAGACCCUUUAAAUUGGGAAUCAGGGAACAUGUCAAUUCAGUUAGGAGACCUUUAGAGACUCCGAUAUCCCGUCAUUUGAAAAUACAUCAUUCUAAUUCAUCUAAAAAGAUCAGAUUUGUGGGAAUUGAACAUAUCCCACAGACUCGAAGAAAAGGUGACUGGGAGGUAAAGCUGAGACAACGGGAAUCCUACUUGAUUUACAGACUUAAGACCCUCUCACCCGUAGGAUUAAAUGAGGGCUUUUCAUUUGCCGCAUUUUUGUAACUAUUUUUUGAUGUGUGUUAUAUAACAAGGAUUAUCCUACCUCUGUCCGUCUAUAUGGAUAGUAGCAGUAAUUAUAUUAGUUACAUUUUAAUAUUAUCCUGUAUGUAGCUUUCCUAAUAGGCGGCCGCCUAUAGUGAUGACUGCACUAGAUCAAACAAAGGUUCUCUUUACCUUAUUGUAUGUUGAGCAAUUUUACCCAUUUAUUGUCCCUAUUACAUCUACUUCAUAUUACAGACAGGCAUGUAUUUGCAGUUCACUGUAAAGGGUUAUUAUUAACCCAAUAUAAUUUUGAUUUGGGUCUUUUGGCCCACUUAAAUAAUUCCUGUAUAUGUUAACUUUUAGACAGUAGGGACCUACUGUGAUAACAAUAACAGUAUGGGUUAAACACUACAUUACUUAGGUACUGAGUUUCCUUUAUGCCAGCCUUACAUUAUAACUUAACGAUUAAACAUCCCUUAUGGUUGAAGGGACCGGCUCGGUGGGUGGCAGUGUGAUUUCGUCACUGGUUUACGUCACGUUGCCACUCCCCCCUCCUAUGCGCCUGGUCUACCCACGUGUGCCUAUUCCAAUUGGCUAAUUAGACUAUGACGUUUGGUCACGUGAUCGGAUCCGUGACCAAUCGGGAGGCAGCCAGUUCGGUAGUAUACACCCACGUGGAUACACAGCUGACUGAUUACAACGUGACAAGCAAUAUAUAAAUGGCUACAGUACUGGUUCACUGCUCCUGAUGAUGGCAUGCUAAUAUGCCGAAUCGCGCGUCGAGCAAAUUUUAAUUUACUUAUUUUUUUCUUUCUUUACCACUCAUUUGGUAGCACAGGAAUAGGAAUUUCUAUUUAGGUUAACUUAAUGUAUACUAGUUUACUGGACAGGCAGGGAGCGGUAUGUAGGUAGGCACCUGUAUGUAAUAUUACAGUGCUGAGGUAUAUGGACUUUUAUUUGGGUUAAUUUAGGUAGACCUGAAUAGGCAGGGAGAGGUACAUAUGUAGGCUCCUGUGUGUUCUAUCACAGUGCCGAGGUAUACCUUUAUCAAUCACUGUCCUUUCUCUAUAGUGAUUUAGACUUGGGCUUGGGUCUUGGGAGUCUCCAUUUUCCAUCUCCUCCUUUAGGUUAAGUACAUGGGCUCAUCCCCUAAUUAGCCCAAAGUUUUUCUUGUUACUACAUGCUUCUUCCAUUCUCUACACUUUACCUAUGCUACCUAGACUUGUAAUUUUUUUGAUAUAGCCUGGUCUCCCUCUUGUGAGUAGGUUAGCAUUUAGGAUUUGAAUGUGUGUUGAGAAACUACUGCCUCCUCCAAGACCUCCCUUACUUUCUGUCCAUUUUUAAUAUUGCUCCCAUCAUUAGGAUUAAUAAAGGUAGGGCUCCCUUUCCUUAUGAACUAUUCUUUAAUUUAGGACCUUACGGUCUCACUCUUCUUUUUCCUUUGUUUACGUUUUGUUUUGAUCACAACGUGUACAUUUGUCUCAGUCGUUAAGGACACAGCUUCUGAAGCUUGAAGCACUCUGUCAUCCCCUCCCUUAAAGGAACUCUCCAGUGCCAGGAAAACAAUCCGUUUUCCUGGCACUGCAGGUCCCCUCUCCCUCCCACCACCCAUCCCCAGUUGCUGAAGGGGUGAAAACCCCUUCAGUCACGUACCUGAUACCCCGCCGAUGUCUUUGGGGUCGCUGUUGCUCCUCCUCUUCAUUGCGUCGGCGAGACUGAUCCCGCCCACCGGCCAUGGAGACCUAAUGCGCAUGCUUUCCUAUAGGGAAUUGAGCAACGCUGGAGGUCCUCACACAGCAUGAGGACGUCCAGCGACGCUCUAGCACAGGUUUUCUGUGCUAUGGACCAGGAAGUGCCCUCUAGAGGUGGAGUUAACCCUGCAAGGUAAUUAUUGCAGUUUAUAAAAAAACUGCAAUAAUUACACUUGCAAGGUUAAGGGUAGUGGGGUUUGCACCCAGACCACUCCACUGGGCAGAAGUGGUCUGGGUGCCUGGAGUGUCCCUUUAAAGAUGCCAAGAAGGGAUUUAAAAAGGCUCUGUCACCUCAAACUUUUCUUUCUCCUAUUGUUUCCUAUUCUUUCAGAAUCUUUUCUAAUUUUCUUCAUGAAAGUUGCCUGAGAGUGAGGUUUUUAUCAUAACCUGACAAGAAUUUAUAUUCGAGAUCGACCGAUAUUGAUUAUAUUUUUUUAUUUUUUUUUAGAGCCGAUAAUCUGUGAACUUUCAGGCCUAUAGCCGAUAACUUACCAAUAUUCUGGGGCGGGGCUAGGCUGCCAUGCUGAGCGGCCGCAUGGAGAGUGAGCUCCUCGCUUAACUUGAUCUUAUUAGAAGAACCAAAGGCAUUUGCUCAAAGUAUUGCUACAGAAGUAUACCCGCGAUACCAAGGUGCUACCGGGAACACUACCCGUCCACAUGGCUACUGCGAAACUCUGCUCCAGCUUGCUUGAAGUGCAGCCUGGUGUGGGCCCGUCCAGGAGCUGCGGCCAGGCUCCUCGGAGGGACUUCACUGACGGGGCGGUGGCUGAAUCACGUUUUCCCCCUACACCCCCUGGGCCGGUUGGGGUUAUCCCGGUCCCCACUGAAGCUGACUGCGUUUUAACAUGCUGUGAUUACCUCUUACCCCUAGCGGCAACCUCAACCUCACUGCCUCCUCAAGAUGGCAGACGCACCUCGCUCAGCCUUGCAGGGACUAGAAUCUAUAGAAACUCUCCUAAAUCGUCUGGAUGCAAUCUUCCAGAACUUUUGGCAAAAGCUACGAGAACGGCAGAGAACCCAAGCGGCUCAGCCACAAGCAGACGGGCGGGACACCAUUGCACCGGAGAAAGGUGGGAACCCUCAGAACAAGGCAGGACAGCAACAGCACACUUACCUGUUUACUAACCCUCUUGGGUCGAGAGCCUGCAGGGGUGUCGCCUCCAAGCCCCAAACCAAACGGCUGAAGAUACCGGCCCCAAGAUGGGUCCGCCGAAGGUGGAGUGCUUCACCGCAAGAUGGCGAGAGCAGGGCCUCGGCCACCUCACACGCCAUACUCCUGUCCAGACCGGACCCGUGCGGAGCACCAGCGACAUGCCGGAAACGACAAGCAAAUGGAAGAGUUCAGCCAUCAUGGACCCCGCAGCCCAUCGUUACACAAGCUGACUCCCCACAAGCACGAAGUGCAGAGGGAUGGUCCAUGUGGAUCCUGCUGGCCAUACUUGUUUGCAAAUCGACUGUAACUGUCGUCAUGGAAUCGCAUGUUUAUUAUUUAUUUCAUUUUUUUGUAAAUGUAUUUAUUUAUUACCCCCUUCACGCCGUUACGGCGUUCUAUGCCGUCGCGGCUUUAAUGUCGUUGCGGCGGCAUAGAACGCCGUAACUGCUUUCUGCCCCAGAGGACCGGCGGUACUUACACAUGGCCCCCAAUAGCUGGCUAUGGAUCUGCCAGCAGGGGGGCUGUCUGAAAUAGCAGACAGUCCCCCUGCUGGUGGGAAAGUGUAAAAAAAAUAAUAAUAAUUAACAUGUUAUAAAAUGUGUGUGUGUGUGUGUGUGUGUGUAU